AACCCGGACUGUAAAAUACAGAUUCUGGGGCUGUAUCGUGUCGGUCUCACAGAUUCUGGAGCCGAGGAUCUCGCCACCACUCUCAGUACAAACCCCUCACUGACGGAGCUGUUCCUGUCAGACAACUCCCUCACAGACCGAUGUGUCCCCGCUCUCCGCCGCCUCAUACUGACCCUCCCGAGACUAGAGCUGAUCGGGCUGCUGGGGAAUAAGUUCAGUCCGACCGGGAAGAAGGAACUGAGGUCGCUGCAGGAACCCAGACCCGGACUGAGAGUGGACGUGUGAACAACUCUGUGUGUAAACGUCACCGCCCUGGGGACCGGAAUAUUGGUGGCCGAUUCCCCGCCCUCCCCUUUAAGCGGCCGCCCUCCCCUUUAAACGGCCGCCCUCCCCUUUAAACGGCCGCCCUCCCCUUUAAACGGCCGCCCUCCCCAUUAAACCCCAACGCUUCCCGGGCCGGCCGGGCGGUGACAUCAGAGGCGGCCCUGCCCGCUGUCACGUGACCCGGGUACGUGGCGCUGCUGAUGAUGCCGGAUAUCCGGUGCUGCCCUCCAGUGGGGGACGGAGGAAUUGCAGCGGAACCUGCAGGAUUACAGAAGUGAUUUUA
This is a long non-coding RNA of Amblyraja radiata (thorny skate), 607 nucleotides long. RefSeq lists it as uncharacterized. The record is from RefSeq and is a predicted model, not a curated record. NCBI's taxonomy places the organism in Eukaryota, Metazoa, Chordata, Chondrichthyes, Rajiformes, Rajidae. The transcript has 4 exons.